CCUACGGGAGGCAGCAGUGAGGAAUAUUGGUCAAUGGGCGUAAGCCUGAACCAGCCAAGUCGCGUGAGGGAUGAAUGUUCUAUGGAUUGUAAACCUCUUUUAUAAGGGAAUAAAGUGCGGGACGUGUCCCGUUUUGUAUGUACCUUAUGAAUAAGGAUCGGCUAACUCCGUGCCAGCAGCCGCGGUAAUACGGAGGAGCCGAGCGUUAUCCGGAUUGAUUGGGUGUAAAGGGUGCGUAGGCGGCCUGUUAAGUCAGCGGUGAAAGUCUGUGGCUCAACCAUAGAAUGGCCGUUGAAACUGGGGGGCUUGAGUAUGUUUAGGGCAGGCGGAAUGCGUGGUGUAGCGGAGAAAUGCUUAGAUAUCACGCAGAACCCCGAUUGCGAGGGCAGCGUGCCACGCCAUGACUGACGCUGAUGCACGAAAGCGUGGGGAUCAAACAGGAUUAGAUACCCCUGUAGUC
Molecule: ribosomal RNA, 460 nt
Filed under: uncultured bacterium
Lineage: Bacteria
Description: partial 16S ribosomal RNA
Rfam family: Bacterial small subunit ribosomal RNA
Source: RNAcentral